CGCAUUAGCUAGUUGGUGAGGUAACGGCUCACCAAGGCGACGAUGCGUAGCCGACCUGAGAGGGUGAUCGGCCACACUGGGACUGAGACACGGCCCAGACUCCUACGGGAGGCAGCAGUAGGGAAUCUUCCACAAUGGGCGAAAGCCUGAUGGAGCAACGCCGCGUGAGUGGAGAAGGUUUUCGGAUCGUAACACUCUGUUGUAAGGGAAGAACAAGUACAGUAAUAACUGGCUGUACCUUGACGGUACCUUAUUAGAAAGCCACGGCUAACUACGUGCCAGCAGCCGCGGUAAUACGUAGGUGGCAAGCGUUGUCCGGAAUUAUUGGGCGUAAAGCGCGCGCAGGCGGUCCUUUAAGUCUGAUGUGAAAGCCCACGGCUCAACCGUGGAGGGUCAUUGGAAACUGGGGGACUUGAGUGCAGAAGAGGAAAGUGGAAUUCCAAGUGUAGCGGUGAAAUGCGUAGAGAUUUGGAGGAANCNNACCANGUGGCGAAGGCGACUUUCUGGUCUGUAACUGACGCUGAGGCGCGAAAGCGUGGGGAGCAAACAGGAUUAAAAACCCUGGUAGUCCACGCCGUAAACGAUGAGUGCUNACUGGCUAGGGGGUUUCCGCCCCUUAGUGCUGCAGCUAACGCAUUAAGCACUCCGCCUGGGGAGUACGGUCGCAAGACUGAAACUCAAAGGAAUUGACGGGGGCCCGCACAAGCGGUGGAGCAUGUGGUUUAAUUCGAAGCAACGCGAAGAACCUUACCAGGUCUUGACAUCCCGUUGACCACUGUAGAGAUAUAGUUUCCCCUUCGGGGGCAACGGUGACAGGUGGUGCAUGGUUGUCGUCAGCUCGUGUCGUGAGAUGUUGGGUUAAGUCCCGCAACGAGCGCAACCCUUGAUCUUAGUUGCCAUCAUUUAGUUGGGCACUCUAAGGUGACUGCCGGUGACAAACCGGAGGAAGGUGGGGAUGACGUCGAAUCAUCAUGCCCCUUAUGACCUGGGCUACACACGUGCUACAAUGGACGAUACAAACGGUUGCCAACUCGCGAGAGUGAGCUAAUCCGAUAGAGUCGUUCUCAGUUCGGAUUGUACGCUGCAACUCGACUAGAUGAAGCCGGAAUCGCUAGUGAUCGCGG
RNAcentral lists this ribosomal RNA (1124 nucleotides) under uncultured Bacillus sp. RNAcentral describes it as "bacterial SSU rRNA". It matches the Rfam family "Bacterial small subunit ribosomal RNA", at positions 237 to 1347 of the family's 1533-position model. Lineage: Bacteria; Bacillati; Bacillota; Bacilli; Caryophanales; Bacillaceae. The record is from RNAcentral.